Molecule: long non-coding RNA, 792 nt
Filed under: Equus caballus (horse)
Lineage: Eukaryota; Metazoa; Chordata; Mammalia; Perissodactyla; Equidae
Description: lncRNA (ENSECAG00000059389.1)
Source: RNAcentral
CUCUGGAUCUCAUAUGACUUUAGUCAAACUCGUAGAAAUUCUGACCUGACCACAGAGAAACGAUCAGGCUCCAGGAGUGGGAACUCGAGAGAGGCACGAGGAGCUGCAUGAAAUGAGAAGAUCAUUGUCAGUUGAAAUCUUACUCUGGACUCCAAUCUGUGAAAGACAUGGAGGUGGAGUUGUCUGUGUGAAGUGAGGAGAGGACAGCGGUGCUCAGGAAAUCCUGACAAAUUGUGAGUUAGGAGACCCAGGUUCCUGUUUUGGUCCAGUCCCACUAAACCUCCCCCUGAUUAAUAAAGUGCUUUCACACAUAGUCACCUUACUUUGGUUUCCUGCCAAUCCUGUGAGAGGCAGGGCAGUGACAAUGCUGAGUUUUACCUGAAGGUUAAGAAGUCCCCCUCCCAUUUUGUGUCCUGGAGAACGGCUUACUGCAAAGAACGACCAUUCCUCAUACGACUUAUCUAAAGACUCCUGGAUGCCCCCUUCUUCACCUACGACAAGGCCAGUCACAGACCCUACAAGUUCCCUUUCUUUGCCUCAUAAAUGAUUAGCUGGACUGCUUGUCCCCAUUGAUCAGUAGGAAAAAAUGUUUGUUAGCUGAACUUUGAUUACACUCCUCUCCUUUGUCCAGGCCCCUGAACUUUGGUCCACCCUCAGCCUGAGUCAGCAUGCUGCCUCUCCUCAAGGGUCCCGCCUAGAAAAUAGUCUGGCCUCGGGGUCAAACAUUCUCUGAUCUCCUAUCCCAUCAGACCACCCUUUCUUUCCGCUUCCCCACAAGUGCUUCUUUCCAGC